CUNNACCUGGNCGNCUUACUUAACACAUGCAAGUCGAACGCUGAACCGGUCUUCGGAUCGGGGAUGAGUGGCGAACGGGUGAGUAACACGUGGACAACCUGUCUUUAGCUCUGGGAUAAGCCUUGGAAACGGGGUCUAAUACCGGAUAGGACUUCAUCACGCAUGUGGUGGGGUGGAAAGCGUUUANCGGCUANAGGUGGGUCCGCGGCCUAUCANCUUGUUGGUGGGGUGAUGGNCUACCAAGGCGACNACGGGUAGCCNGCCUGAGAGGGUGACCGGCCACACUGNGACUGAGACACGGCCCANACUCCUACNGGAGGCAGCANUGGGGAAUAUUGCACAAUGGGCGGAAGCCUGAUGCNGCGACGCCGCGUGAGGGAUGACAGCCUUCNGGNUGUAAACCUCUUUCGCCANGGACNAANCGAGAGUGACGGUACCUGCAGAAGAAGCACCGGCUAACUACUUGCCAGCAGNCGCGGUAAUACGUAGGGUGCNAGCGUNGUCCGGAAUUAUUGGGCGUAAANAGCUCGUAGGCGGCNUGUCNCGUCUGCCGUGAAAUUCACAGCUUAACUGUGGACGUGCNGUGGAUACGGGCAGGNNUGAGUUCGGUAGGGGAACUG
RNAcentral lists this ribosomal RNA (620 nucleotides) under uncultured bacterium. RNAcentral's name for it is "partial 16S ribosomal RNA". It matches the Rfam family "Bacterial small subunit ribosomal RNA", at positions 30 to 662 of the family's 1533-position model. The record is from RNAcentral.